Non-coding RNA from Pongo abelii (Sumatran orangutan), 148 nucleotides. Lineage: Eukaryota; Metazoa; Chordata; Mammalia; Primates; Hominidae. The record is from Rfam.
GCCAGGUGCAGUGGCAUGCACUUGUAGUCCUAGCUCCUGGGGAAGCUGAGGUGGGAGGAUCGCUUGAGCCCAGGAGUUCAAGUCUGCAGUGAGCUAUGAUGGUGCCACUGCACGUCAGCCUGGGCAAUAGAGCGAGACCCUGUCUCAA